This 189-nucleotide ribosomal RNA is filed under the name uncultured bacterium. RNAcentral's name for it is "partial 16S ribosomal RNA". It matches the Rfam family "Bacterial small subunit ribosomal RNA", at positions 338 to 524 of the family's 1533-position model. The record is from RNAcentral.
CCUACGGGAGGCAGCAGUGAGGAAUAUUGGGCAAUGCCCGCAAGGGUGACCCAGCAACGCCGCGUGGAGGAUGAAGGCCGUAAGGUUGUAAACUCCUGUUAGAGGGGAAGAAUAGUACCGGUUGGACCGGUAUAUGACUGUACCCUCAGAGAAAGCCCCUGCUAACUACGUGCCAGCAGCCGCGGUAAU